UGCUAUAAUUGUCAGCUAAGUGGCGCACGGGUGAGUAAUGUAUAGAUAACCUGCCCUUAAGAAAGGAAUAACAGUUGGAAACGACUGCUAAUGCCCUAUAUGCCUUUAAUACAUAAGUAUGCAAGGGAAACGCUUUAGUGCUUAAGGAUGGGUCUGUAUGGUAUCAGCUUGUUGGUGAGGUAAUGGCUCACCAAGGCUAUGACGCCUAACUGGUUUGAGAGGAUGAUCAGUCACACUGGAACUGAGACACGGUCCAGACUCCUACGGGAGGCAGCAGUGGGGAAUAUUGCACAAUGGACGAAAGUCUGAUGCAGCAACGCCGCGUGGAGGAUGACACAUUUCGGUGCGUAAACUCCUUUUAUAUAGGAAGAUAAUGACGGUACUAUAUGAAUAAGCACCGGCUAACUCCGUGCCAGCAGCCGCGGUAAUACGGAGGGUGCAAGCGUUACUCGGAAUCACUGGGCGUAAAGAGCGUGUAGGCGGGUAUAUAAGUCAGAAGUGAAAUCCAAUAGCUCAACUAUUGAACUGCUUUUGAAACUGUAUACCUAGAAUGUGGGAGAGGUAGAUGGAAUUUCUGGUGUAGGGGUAAAAUCCGUAGAGAUCAGAAGGAAUACCGAUUGCGAAGGCGACCUACUGGAACAUUAUUGACGCUGAGACGCGAAAGCGUGGGGAGCAAACAGGAUUAGAUACCCUGGUAGUCCACGCCCUAAACGAUGUACACUAGUUGUUGUGAGGCUCGACCUUGCAGUAAUGCAGUUAACACAUUAAGUGUACCGCCUGGGGAGUACGGUCGCAAGAUU
Molecule: ribosomal RNA, 800 nt
Filed under: uncultured bacterium
Lineage: Bacteria
Description: bacterial SSU rRNA
Rfam family: Bacterial small subunit ribosomal RNA
Source: RNAcentral